This 963-nucleotide long non-coding RNA is filed under the name Oreochromis niloticus (Nile tilapia). Its description in RNAcentral is "lncRNA (ENSONIG00000029290.1)". The record is from RNAcentral. Lineage: Eukaryota; Metazoa; Chordata; Actinopteri; Cichliformes; Cichlidae.
CUGCGAGGUUCAGUGAGCUCCCUCCUGCAGACAGUAGCCAGAGAUGAGGAUAUGUCCUGGGCCAGGCGGGAGCAGCAGGCACUGGGCAGAGUCCCUUCUAGAGGUGGGAGGUGUACUGUACUAAUUAUAAGACCUGUAUAUUAAUAUGUGAUUAUUUGAUAACCUUUGAAGCCGAAGGAGGUUAGAAGUAUUAAUUUUUGCGUGUUUAUAUGCAUUCAUUCAUGCAUGCCUAAAAUAUUCCUAUUGAUAUUCUUUUAAUCUUUUUCCCCUCUCCGUUUCUCCUUCAUCUUUCCUCUCCCUCCAGCACCGUCUCCCCUCCCCAGCCGCUCUCGCUCCAGUUCAGUGGGGGAAUCUUUAGGCCUGGGAGGAGGGAGAGUCAUGAGAGCGCUGGUCUCUCAUCCCUCCUCAUCCAACCCAAAGCUCCUGCCUUUCAACAGGGGUGAAACUGUCAUCGUCCUGGUCCAGGAGCCACGCAACGGGUGGCUGUAUGGGCGCACUGACAGCAGCCUGCGUCAGGGCUGGUUCCCUGCUGCAUACGUUGCCCCUAUUGAGGAUUUCUCCAAUAAUUUAGCAACAAGUGGCAGUUCUCUAAGAAGUCACAGUAUGAACAAUCUGAAUGACAGUGACACGUACGCCGACCAGUCAGAGAGCAAGAGUUACGGAGACGUCCCACCCCCGGCCACACCCAAUCGUAGAGCCUCAGUGGACUUCAGGCCUAUCUCUCCACUCCCUGAGAAGAAGGGAGAAGAGGCGUUGGAGACGAAGCCGAGUCAAACAAGGAGCUACAAUGAACAUCCACUUCCUCCCCCACCGCCUCCCCCUCCACCAAUUCAGAAUGCAAGGAGGAGUUCAGGAGAUUUUCGGCCCACCUCUCCCCUAACUGACAGAAAGGGUGGAGCAGCAUCUGACGUCCAGGCAUUAUCACCACAUGGACCCCAUGAAAACCCACUGUUUCCCAGGUAA